AAAUCUUAAACCUUAAACUCUAAACGCGCAAAGCUUAAUGGAACUGAGCACAACUUUCAAGCUCAGUAGUUGAAUAUUGCAGCUAUUUGUGAAUGAAUUGUUCUCGUAAGGAGAUAUUUACCAUGUCGCUAAGAAAUGGACCCCAUAUAUGAUUUCUAAACUGAUUAAAUGAUGCUCCCAUUACGCUUUGCACGCUUAGAGUCC
Non-coding RNA from Paramuricea clavata, 204 nucleotides. The record is from the annotation of a GenBank genome assembly. Lineage: Eukaryota; Metazoa; Cnidaria; Anthozoa; Malacalcyonacea; Plexauridae.